GGUGGAGUGAUUUGUCUGGUUUAUUCCGAUAACGAACGAGACUCUAACCUGCUAAUUAGUCUUGCGAUAAGUUUGAGUCGUUUAGACUUCUUAGAGGGAUAAGUGGUUUUCAGCCACACGAAAUUGAGCAAUAACAGGUCUGUGAUGCCCUUAGAUGUUCGGGGCUGCACGCGCGCUACACUGGAUGGAUCAACGUGUUCGUCCCUGUGCCGAAAGGUACGGGAACACCGUUGAAAACCAUUCGUGAUCGGGAUAGGGGAUUGCAAUUAUUUCCCUUCAACGAGGAAUUCCCAGUAAGUGUGAGUCAUCAGCUCGCGUUGAAUACGUCCCUGCCCUUUGUAC
Molecule: ribosomal RNA, 342 nt
Filed under: Nematoda environmental sample
Lineage: Eukaryota; Metazoa; Nematoda
Description: bacterial SSU rRNA
Rfam family: Eukaryotic small subunit ribosomal RNA
Source: RNAcentral